Non-coding RNA from Nicotiana tabacum (common tobacco), 3916 nucleotides. Lineage: Eukaryota; Viridiplantae; Streptophyta; Magnoliopsida; Solanales; Solanaceae. The record is from RefSeq and is a predicted model, not a curated record.
AAAGAGUAUUAUUGUCUUAAUACCUCCUUUCUGUGCCCUAAAGAUCCAUUUACUCUACUGGAUCAGAAAUCGGAGCCCGCCAUCUUUAUUCGCAUAUUCUUCCCCCUUAACGUCUCUCCUACUCCUAUCUAGGGUUAGGGUUAGGGUUAGGGUUUGGUUUCUAAAAUUUUCUUCUCCUUUGGUCAAGUUCUCGAUUUUAGUUUCACUGAAUUUAGUACUUGUAAUUGUGAAAGUAAAUUGAGGGGAAUUUGAGAUUCCCAUAGCAAUGGGAGUUCCAGCAUUUUACCGAUGGUUAGCUGAGAAGUAUCAAAUGGUUAUUGUGGAUGUGAUAGAAGAAGAUGCCGUUGUUAUUGAAGGCGUGAAAAUUCCAGUGGAUACGAGUAAACCUAAUCCUAACAAAAUUGAAUAUGAUAAUCUGUACCUUGAUAUGAAUGGUAUCAUCCAUCCAUGUUUUCACCCUGAAGACAGACCAUCUCCAACGACAUUUGAGGAGGUCUUUCAGUGCAUGUUUGACUACAUAGACAGGCUUUUCUCUAUGGUGCGUCCUCGAAAGCUGCUAUAUAUGGCUAUUGAUGGUGUUGCACCUAGGGCAAAAAUGAAUCAGCAGAGAUCUAGACGUUUUAGAGCAGCAAAAGAUGCAGCAGAUGCGGCAGCCGAGGAGGCAAAGCUGCGGGAGGAAUUCGAGAGAGAGGGCAGGAAACUUCCCCCUAAACAAGAAUCACAAGUUUUUGAUUCAAAUGUUAUCACUCCUGGGACUCCAUUCAUGGGCACAUUAUCAAUCGCUCUUCAGUACUACAUUCAUCUUAGACUAAACCAUGAUCCAGGAUGGAAAAACGUUAAGGUUAUACUGUCUGAUGCAAAUGUUCCUGGUGAGGGGGAGCAUAAAAUUAUGUCCUAUAUUCGCCUUCAAAGAAAUCUUCCUGGUUAUGACCCAAAUACACGCCAUUGUCUUUAUGGUUUGGAUGCAGAUCUAAUCAUGUUGGGUUUGGCUACUCAUGAAGUUCACUUCUCGAUACUCAGAGAGGUUGUAUUUACUCCAGGUCAGCAGGAUAAGUGUUUCCUUUGUGGUCAAAUGGGUCAUUUAGCUGCAGAUUGCGAAGGAAAGGCAAAACGAAAAGCAGGAGAAUUUGAUGAGAAAGGCGAUGCUGAGGUUGUGGCAAAAAAACCUUUCCAGUUCCUCAACAUAUGGACUUUGCGGGAGUAUUUAGAAUAUGAUAUGAGAAUUCCGAAUCCUCCAUUUGAGAUUGAUCUUGAGCGGAUCAUUGAUGACUUCAUAUUUAUUUGUUUCUUUGUUGGCAAUGAUUUUCUCCCACAUAUGCCUACACUUGAGAUCCGUGAGGGUGCAAUAAACUUGUUGCUGGCUGUUUAUAAGAAGGAGUUUAAGUCUAUGGGGGGUAUCUAACCGAUGGUAGCCAGCCAAAUCUUAGCAGGGUGGAGCAUUUUAUUCAGGCUGUGGGAUCGUAUGAAGAUAAGAUAUUCCAGAAAAGAGCUCGCUUACAUCAGAGACAAUCUGAGAGAAUCAAGCGUGAAAAGGCACAGUCAAAAAGAGGAGAUGACUCCGCUCCUCAAGCUGAACCUGAAUCUUUGGUUCCAGUUGCUCGGUUUGGUGGUUCGCGGCUUGCUUCAGGUCCUUCGCCUUCUCCCUAUCAACCGGGGGGAACUUCAAGACGUGACCAACUUCGGCAUGGCACAUCAAGUCUUUCCAUCCUUGACAUUCAGAGCGAGCACUCUGGGACUGUUGAUGAAAAAGGAUCUGUUGUUAGUGCCAAAAAAGUUGCACGUUUGAGUUCUGGGGCCACGAUAGGAGCUGCAAUUGUUGAAGCUGAGAAUAGCCUUGAAAUAGAAGUAUUAGAAAACAAAGAAGACCUGAAAACAAAACUAAACAAGUUGAUCCGUGAGAAGAAUGACGUUUUUAAUUCAGAGCAUCCUGAGGAAGACAAGAUCAAACUGGGAGUGCCAGGGUGGAAGGAAAGGUAUUAUGAGGAAAAAUUUUCUGCGAAGACACCUGAGGAGAUGGAAGAAGUACGGAAGGACGUUGUCUUGAAAUACACAGAAGGGCUGUGCUGGGUUAUGCACUAUUAUUAUGAAGGCGUUUGUUCCUGGCAAUGGUUUUAUCCUUAUCAUUAUGCUCCUUUUGCUUCUGACCUCAAGGAUCUUGGGGAGUUGAAUAUCACCUUUGAACUAGGUUCUCCAUUCAAACCAUUCAAUCAGCUGUUAGGAGUUUUUCCUGCUGCCAGUGCACAUGCUCUUCCUGUACAGUACAGGCAAUUGAUGACAGACCCAAACUCGCCCAUUAUUGAUUUCUAUCCUACUGAUUUUGAGGUGGACAUGAAUGGGAAGCGCUUUUCAUGGCAGGGUAUUGCCAAGCUACCUUUCAUUGAUGAAGUCCGGCUCCUUGCAGAGGUUGCAAAAGUCGAACAUACCUUGACGGAGGAAGAAGCACGAAGAAAUAGUGUGAUGAAUGAUAUGCUUUUUGUAUCAUUAUCUCACCCUUUAUCUCCAUACAUUUUUUCUCUUGAUGAUCGUUGUAAGCAGCUUACAGACUAUGAACGUGUUGAAGUCAAGGAGCGCUUGGACCCAAAAUCAAGUGGUGGGAUGAAUGGCUAUAUAUCCCUUUGCAUGGGAGAUCCUUGUCCUCCAAUAUUUAGAUCACCUAUUGAUGGGCUGGAAGAUAUUAUGGACAAUCAAGUCAUAUGUGCAAUAUACAGACUCCCGGAUCCCCAUAAGCAUAUCACACGGCCACCUAAAGGGGUUAUUUUCCCAAAGAAGUUGGUCACAUUUGGUGAUAUAAAACCUGAUCCCGUGUUGUGGCAUGAGGAUUCUGGGAGGAAACCUUGGGAAAAUGGAAGGAACCAACACCCUGGCGGAAACUCUGGUCGUCACGUUGGAGAGGCAGCACACAGGCUGGUGGCUAAUAGUUUGCAGAUGAGGAGCGGUCAUGGUGAUUAUGCACGUGCUCAACCUGCAGCAUAUCCUGCUACACAUGGUCCUUUUCCUUCCUCUCACAGAUACAAUGGUCAGGAACAUGUUCGGGCUAGUUUUGGGUAUUCCGCUCGAGAUGACACAGCUGCGCCGUAUCACUAUGAUCAUAGUUAUAACCAAUCUUAUGUCCCAGCUGCUGUUGAUCCUUAUAGUAGGCCGCCUCCUCUGUAUGAGAGGGGUGGCCGACCUGUCCCUCCCAGCGGGGAUUAUCAUAGACAUGGACAUCACAGUGCUGUGGUGACGCAAAAUGUUGGAUAUGGUUAUUCCUCUCAUGCCACUCGUGCGCAGUAUGUCAGCCAAACACCAAUACCACCCGUUGCUCAUUUUCACCAGCAGCAGAGUGGAUAUGACAAUUACACGAGUUAUCAACCUUAUGUGGCAGGAAGCUAUAACCAACUGGGUGGUGGAUGGACCCCUCAAGGUAGCCAAAAUGUUGCUCGAGGGUAUAGUAAUCCACGUCCUUCCAGUAAUCACUUCUCGGCGUUGGGAAGAGGAAGAGAUAGAAGGCCCCCAUCUUCAGGCCAUAACCGUUAAAGGUGUCAUCAUCUUAGCUAAGUCGACACAGGACAGAAAAGUCACUGCUGCAAAGAAGGGAGAAACUUGCAAGUAAUGGGUAAUUUUCAGACAAUAUACUUUGGGAAGCAUGUAGAUGAACAAGAAAAAGAAAAUGCAGUUAGAGAACAAACAGAUGUUGCUUGUCAAUGUGUAAGUUCAGGCGACUUUCUGGUGCUUGUCAUCAUGGUAUUGUUGUACAAUAUAGAUCUCUAGCACAGAACUUUACUGGUAUUCUUCUCUUCCUUCCAAUAUUAGAUGUAGUUGAGCUUCAUUUAUUUGAAAAAUUACAUUGUAUUCCAUAAAGGUAAAUGUUAGAUGAAUAAAGGUGAUGUAAUUUUCUCAUGAACUUUGAGCUUUAUUUGUAUUGUCCUUUCUAUUU